ACUCUCAGCAACGGAUAUCUUGGCUCUUGCAACGAUGAAGAACGCAGCGAAAUGCGAUACGUAGUGUGAAUUGCAGAAUUCCGCGAAUCAUCGAGUUUUGAACGCAAGUUGCGCCCGAGGCUUGUCCGAGGGCAUUUCCGCUAGAGCGUCA
RNAcentral lists this ribosomal RNA (151 nucleotides) under Bryum argenteum. Its description in RNAcentral is "5.8S ribosomal RNA". It matches the Rfam family "5.8S ribosomal RNA". From Rfam's summary of the family: 5.8S ribosomal RNA (5.8S rRNA) is a component of the large subunit of the eukaryotic ribosome. It is transcribed by RNA polymerase I as part of the 45S precursor that also contains 18S and 28S rRNA. Lineage: Eukaryota; Viridiplantae; Streptophyta; Bryopsida; Bryales; Bryaceae. The record is from RNAcentral.